GUACCCGGUCCGGGUCGGCUGGGCUGCCCGCCUCUCCGCGCGCCCGGGCGGUUGCAGGUCGCGCCUGCUUUGGCCCCGGCGGGUUCGGCAUCCGAGCCUGGCAGGGGCCAAUAGAAAGUUUCCUACACUACUGAGGUUUAGGGGCACUGUGAAGCAAAAGCCACGCCUCAGAAUCCCAGGCGGAGACUCCGACCUCCUCCCGGGAGGGAAGCCAGUAGCUGAGCACCUGCGGGAGAUUAAAGAGAGGAAUAAGGAGGUGAGUACAUGACAAAGAGCCACAGUCGCAGUCAGUGGGGCCUGGCUCAGAACAGGCUGUGCUGGGAAGCGGGAGCAGGAGCUGGCGCCGCCUUGCGGGCUGGCAGAGGACCAUCCACUCCCUGGCGCUGGGGCCGUCCCAUCUCAUGGGCAAGAAACGUGAGACCCCUGGCUCGCUCCACACACAACCUAAGUGCCAGAUGGAUGAGACGCCUACGCGUGAGUAAAUGCCAGGAACAUGAGACUCGAACGUGGCAGGAUAUCCUUCUGCCCACGAAUCUAAAAGCUUACUCGGUAAUGGGAGAAUGGUUCCAAUUUGAUAAACUCGGGUUUUUAGAACGUCUGUGCUCCAGAAACACUGGAAGGCAAGUGGCUGCUCGCUGGAGGAGAUAAUUGGAUGCUGCAAGCGGCAAAGGGCUCGGGAUGCAAAACACCGCAAGAAAUGCGACAAGGGAGGAGCAUUCCCGCAAAGAAAAAACGCACAGGCCGAGAGCAGUGGCUCACGCCUGU
This 765-nucleotide long non-coding RNA is filed under the name Pan troglodytes (chimpanzee). RNAcentral's name for it is "lincRNA". The record is from RNAcentral. Lineage: Eukaryota; Metazoa; Chordata; Mammalia; Primates; Hominidae.